UAAAGGAAGCAGAAGUUCUAACUGAAACUCUUGAAAGUAAUAGAUCUUAAUGUGGAUUCAAUUCUCUAUCAGUGGCAGAUUCCUGCACUGUAGAUAACAGGUGCCUGUGGGGACGAGCUCUGAAAAUUGUCAAGGCAGCCUGACACAUCAAACACCAUGCACAAGACAUGAGGGGCUUUUUCACACACAAGAAAAAUGUCCACAUUCAAGCUAAAUAUCAGGUAAAAUAUGAAGGAAUCGGUGUCAUGUCCACAGCGAACUGAGUCAUGCAUCUAUCUGUGCCUGGCAUGUUGGGAGCUGCAACCUUCAGCUCAGCUAUUCUGUGCUGGGGGCAACUUACCAGAGUGGCUGAACCACCCCCGCGCACUCUGUUCUCUCCCACCAGGCCCUGGGUUGGGUGGAACCAAGUGAGGAACUGGGCUCUUAUCUCCUCUUUCUUUCCAUCACCCUAAACCUCAUGGGUUGCACAUAAAUAUGGUUCCUUUAACCAAUAUGUUUGAACAAUCCUAGCUUUCCUGGGCCAGGUUUAAAUAUACCUAAGAAAGCAGGGUUGAGCCAAAAGUGCCGUACAGUGUAAACUCUAUAAAAGCAGAAAACUAUCAUCCCAUUCUUGAUGCCUGUGGUGCCUGGCACAAUUCUGGGCAUCAACAAUGAGGACUGGCACUUAGUCCUGGGAAUAAGAGGGAAGAGUGAAGAAGAGGAAACAUGAUCUAUUCACUCAUAAGUUCACAUAUGUUUAAAGAGACACAACACUCAAAAGCCUAGAUGUAAACAUGGUAAUGCUUUCAUAGAAGUACAUGCAAGAUACUUCAGGCUCACUGAGGAUGGAGCGCCUGCAGGACAUGGUCAUGUUUCAAUAAAUGUUGAAGAAAUACUCAGAGGGGUUCCACAUUCUGGGUCUGUUGUUUCAGACGGGUCAUUUUCCAGAAUGCUACCCCAUUCCUUAUUUCUCCAGCCAACAAGAACUGGCAUUUCUGGAGUGCUUAACCAGGAGGCAUGUGCCAUGGUAGGCAUGCUGAUUUGUUGCUUUUAAUCCUUCAAAGAGUUCUGUUCCAUAAAUAUAUUAUAUCUAAACAUAGUUACACCGAUUUCAGAGAUGUAGAAAUUGAGGCUCACAAAAUAGGUCAUUUCCCAAAUACACAGUAGUUGUAAGGAGCUAUAGUAAGGUUUCAAACAUAAUUUUACAUUACACACCAAUCACAUCAGCCUGGUAUACCACUGGAGAACAGGAGAAAGAAAAUCUUCUCUCCUAAGGAGAUGUGUACACAUUCAAUCUCCCUCCUCCUAAUUCUUCAAGUACUAUAUUUCUUAGGUGCUUUUGGUUUUAUCAAUACCUCACAAUGACUUCUAUUUGCUUUAUUAAAAACUAGGAAAAAAGAAAAGCCUAGAAUCUCUACAUACCCAGUCAAUACCAUCUCCUCCUGUGUCCACCAAAUUACCCUGGAAAAAACUUUGUAGUUGACUAAUGGUUACAAC
Long non-coding RNA from Manis pentadactyla (Chinese pangolin), 1476 nucleotides. RefSeq lists it as uncharacterized. The transcript has 3 exons. The record is from RefSeq and is a predicted model, not a curated record. Lineage: Eukaryota; Metazoa; Chordata; Mammalia; Pholidota; Manidae.